This 74-nucleotide transfer RNA is filed under the name Sulfolobus sp. S-194. Its description in RNAcentral is "tRNA-Met". It matches the Rfam family "tRNA". Rfam says of the family: Transfer RNA (tRNA) molecules are approximately 80 nucleotides in length. Lineage: Archaea; Thermoproteati; Thermoproteota; Thermoprotei; Sulfolobales; Sulfolobaceae. The record is from RNAcentral.
GGGCCCGUAGCUUAGCCAGGUAGAGCGCCCGGCUCAUAACCGGGUGGUCCGGGGUUCAAGUCCCCGCGGGCCCA